Molecule: ribosomal RNA, 2902 nt
Filed under: Escherichia coli
Lineage: Bacteria; Pseudomonadati; Pseudomonadota; Gammaproteobacteria; Enterobacterales; Enterobacteriaceae
Description: 23S ribosomal RNA
Rfam family: Bacterial large subunit ribosomal RNA
Source: RNAcentral
GGUUAAGCGACUAAGCGUACACGGUGGAUGCCCUGGCAGUCAGAGGCGAUGAAGGACGUGCUAAUCUGCGAUAAGCGUCGGUGAGGUGAUAUGAACCGUUAUAACCGGCGAUUUCCGAAUGGGGAAACCCAGUGUGUUUCGACACACUAUCAUUAACUGAAUCCAUAGGUUAAUGAGGCGAACCGGGGGAACUGAAACAUCUAAGUACCCCGAGGAAAAGAAAUCAACCGAGAUUCCCCCAGUAGCGGCGAGCGAACGGGGAGGAGCCCAGAGCCUGAAUCAGUGUGUGUGUUAGUGGAAGCGUCUGGAAAGGCGCGCGAUACAGGGUGACAGCCCCGUACACAAAAAUGCACAUACUGUGAGCUCGAUGAGUAGGGCGGGACACGUGGUAUCCUGUCUGAAUAUGGGGGGACCAUCCUCCAAGGCUAAAUACUCCUGACUGACCGAUAGUGAACCAGUACCGUGAGGGAAAGGCGAAAAGAACCCCGGCGAGGGGAGUGAAAAAGAACCUGAAACCGUGUACGUACAAGCAGUGGGAGCCUCUUAAUGGGGUGACUGCGUACCUUUUGUAUAAUGGGUCAGCGACUUAUAUUCUGUAGCAAGGUUAACCGAAUAGGGGAGCCGAAGGGAAACCGAGUCUUAACUGGGCGUUAAGUUGCAGGGUAUAGACCCGAAACCCGGUGAUCUAGCCAUGGGCAGGUUGAAGGUUGGGUAACACUAACUGGAGGACCGAACCGACUAAUGUUGAAAAAUUAGCGGAUGACUUGUGGCUGGGGGUGAAAGGCCAAUCAAACCGGGAGAUAGCUGGUUCUCCCCGAAAGCUAUUUAGGUAGCGCCUCGUGAAUUCAUCUCCGGGGGUAGAGCACUGUUUCGGCAAGGGGGUCAUCCCGACUUACCAACCCGAUGCAAACUGCGAAUACCGGAGAAUGUUAUCACGGGAGACACACGGCGGGUGCUAACGUCCGUCGUGAAGAGGGAAACAACCCAGACCGCCAGCUAAGGUCCCAAAGUCAUGGUUAAGUGGGAAACGAUGUGGGAAGGCCCAGACAGCCAGGAUGUUGGCUUAGAAGCAGCCAUCAUUUAAAGAAAGCGUAAUAGCUCACUGGUCGAGUCGGCCUGCGCGGAAGAUGUAACGGGGCUAAACCAUGCACCGAAGCUGCGGCAGCGACACUAUGUGUUGUUGGGUAGGGGAGCGUUCUGUAAGCCUGUGAAGGUGGCCUGUGAGGGUUGCUGGAGGUAUCAGAAGUGCGAAUGCUGACAUAAGUAACGAUAAAGCGGGUGAAAAGCCCGCUCGCCGGAAGACCAAGGGUUCCUGUCCAACGUUAAUCGGGGCAGGGUGAGUCGACCCCUAAGGCGAGGCCGAAAGGCGUAGUCGAUGGGAAACAGGUUAAUAUUCCUGUACUUGGUGUUACUGCGAAGGGGGACGGAGAAGGCUAUGUUGGCCGGGCGACGGUUGUCCCGGUUUAAGCGUGUAGGCUGGUUUUCCAGGCAAAUCCGGAAAAUCAAGGCUGAGGCGUGAUGACGAGGCACUACGGUGCUGAAGCGACAAAUGCCCUGCUUCCAGGAAAAGCCUCUAAGCAUCAGGUAACAUCAAAUCGUACCCCAAACCGACACAGGUGGUCAGGUAGAGAAUACCAAGGCGCUUGAGAGAACUCGGGUGAAGGAACUAGGCAAAAUGGUGCCGUAACUUCGGGAGAAGGCACGCUGAUAUGUAGGUGAAGCGACUUGCUCGUGGAGCUGAAAUCAGUCGAAGAUACCAGCUGGCUGCAACUGUUUAUUAAAAACACAGCACUGUGCAAACACGAAAGUGGACGUAUACGGUGUGACGCCUGCCCGGUGCCGGAAGGUUAAUUGAUGGGGUUAGCGGUAACGCGAAGCUCUUGAUCGAAGCCCCGGUAAACGGCGGCCGUAACUAUAACGGUCCUAAGGUAGCGAAAUUCCUUGUCGGGUAAGUUCCGACCUGCACGAAUGGCGUAAUGAUGGCCAGGCUGUCUCCACCCGAGACUCAGUGAAAUUGAACUCGCUGUGAAGAUGCAGUGUACCCGCGGCAAGACGGAAAGACCCCGUGAACCUUUACUAUAGCUUGACACUGAACAUUGAGCCUUGAUGUGUAGGAUAGGUGGGAGGCUUUGAAGUGUGGACGCCAGUCUGCAUGGAGCCGACCUUGAAAUACCACCCUUUAAUGUUUGAUGUUCUAACGUGGGCCCCUUACCGGGGUUGCGGACAGUGUCUGGUGGGUAGUUUGACUGGGGCGGUCUCCUCCUAAAGAGUAACGGAGGAGCACGAAGGUUGGCUAAUCCUGGUCGGACAUCAGGAGGUUAGUGCAAUGGCAUAAGCCAGCUUGACUGCGAGCGUGACGGCGCGAGCAGGUGCGAAAGCAGGUCAUAGUGAUCCGGUGGUUCUGAAUGGAAGGGCCAUCGCUCAACGGAUAAAAGGUACUCCGGGGAUAACAGGCUGAUACCGCCCAAGAGUUCAUAUCGACGGCGGUGUUUGGCACCUCGAUGUCGGCUCAUCACAUCCUGGGGCUGAAGUAGGUCCCAAGGGUAUGGCUGUUCGCCAUUUAAAGUGGUACGCGAGCUGGGUUUAGAACGUCGUGAGACAGUUCGGUCCCUAUCUGCCGUGGGCGCUGGAGAACUGAGGGGGCUGCUCCUAGUACGAGAGGACCGGAGUGGACGCAUCACUGGUGUUCGGGUUGUCAUGCCAAUGGCACUGCCCGGUAGCUAAAUGCGGAAGAGAUAAGUGCUGAAAGCAUCUAAGCACGAAACUUGCCCCGAGAUGAGUUCUCCCUGACUCCUUGAGAGUCCUGAAGGAACGUUGAAGACGACGACGUUGAUAGGCCGGGUGUGUAAGCGCAGCGAUGCGUUGAGCUAACCGGUACUAAUGAACCGUGAGGCUUAACCUU